This 804-nucleotide ribosomal RNA is filed under the name uncultured Mycobacterium sp. RNAcentral describes it as "bacterial SSU rRNA". It matches the Rfam family "Bacterial small subunit ribosomal RNA", at positions 540 to 1342 of the family's 1533-position model. The record is from RNAcentral. Lineage: Bacteria; Bacillati; Actinomycetota; Actinomycetes; Mycobacteriales; Mycobacteriaceae.
GUUGUCCGGAAUUACUGGGCGUAAAGAGCUCGUAGGUGGUUUGUCGUGUUGUUCGUGAAAUCUCACGGCUUAACUGUGAGCGUGCGGGCGAUACGGGCAGACUUGAGUACUGCAGGGGAGACUGGAAUUCCUGGUGUAGCGGUGGAAUGCGCAGAUAUCAGGAGGAACACCGGUGGCGAAGGCGGGUCUCUGGGCAGUAACUGACGCUGAGGAGCGAAAGCGUGGGGAGCGAACAGGAUUAGAUACCCUGGUAGUCCACGCCGUAAACGGUGGGUACUAGGUGUGGGUUUCCUUCCUUGGGAUCCGUGCCGUAGCUAACGCAUUAAGUACCCCGCCUGGGGAGUACGGCCGCGAGGCUAAAACUCAAAGAAAUUGACGGGGGCCCGCACAAGCGGCGGAGCAUGUGGAUUAAUUCGAUGCAACGCGAAGAACCUUACCUGGGUUUGACAUGCACAGGACGCCGGCAGAGAUGUCGGUUCCCUUGUGGCCUGUGUGCAGGUGGUGCAUGGCUGUCGUCAGCUCGUGUCGUGAGAUGUUGGGUUAAGUCCCGCAACGAGCGCAACCCUUGUCUCAUGUUGCCAGCGGGUAAUGCCGGGGACUCGUGAGAGACUGCCGGGGUCAACUCGGAGGAAGGUGGGGAUGACGUCAAGUCAUCAUGCCCCUUAUGUCCAGGGCUUCACACAUGCUACAAUGGCCGGUACAAAGGGCUGCGAUGCCGCGAGGUUAAGCGAAUCCUUUUAAAGCCGGUCUCAGUUCGGAUCGGGGUCUGCAACUCGACCCCGUGAAGUCGGAGUCGCUAGUAAU